Molecule: long non-coding RNA, 1068 nt
Filed under: Oryctolagus cuniculus (rabbit)
Lineage: Eukaryota; Metazoa; Chordata; Mammalia; Lagomorpha; Leporidae
Description: lncRNA (ENSOCUG00000032506.1)
Source: RNAcentral
GAUUUUUUUGCACCAGAAAAGGUUACUUACCUGGAGCACACCGGAGAUCCACAUAGGCCGGCUACCUCAAGGCUGGAGCCAUGACAGCUGUCAGCCACUACUUUGAGGCUGCCUGGCCACUUCCGGUGCCGCUGUGCUCACUGGGAGGAAGAGGCGGGUCCUAGAUGGCUGGCGCUUGCGCAGUCGGCUGGUGGAGAGCAAGACCCUGUAUCCGGCGGUGUUGGCGUGUUGUCCGCUGCCGGAGUUAUCCGCUGAUGGCAGCGUUGUCGGUGGCGGUGCUGGCCCGGAGAGUGCGGGAAUGAAGACAUCUUCAUGGAUAUGAAACUGGACACACGAGUUGACGCUGAAGUUCAUCUGCUGGGUUCGGAGGCAGCACGGGUGGGCAGCGGCUCAGCCAUGAGGAAGCCAAGAAGCGGAUGUCUGCCUCCCCUCCUCCCCCGCAGAGGGCACGGAUGUGAAACUAACGCAGGGUGGGCGCUGAAGCUCAGCUGCUGGAUAAUCUUCCAGUUCCGGAGACUGCACGGCUUCUGCUCAACCCCAGCUGGGCCUUCAUCCUGGAGAGGAGCAGUGCCAUCGGACACAUUGCUGGGGAAAGCAGACAUGAGCCUCCUUCAGCACCGGACACAGCCUAGGAUCCUGCUGGGCUCAGGACCUCCCCUCCCAUCUCGAGUCCCACGAGGAAUGUUUGUUCCCGUUCUCUGCUGGGGCAGAUGCUAUGGUGGGGCCUCCUCCUUGACGAAGCUGUGGGACUCAGAGCCAGGCUCUGUGUGGCCCGACGAUCCUGCUGACCCCGGCCUCCUGCAGACCAUGGCCGCCAUACCCCUGGCCGCGUCUCCAGCUUUUCAAGUGGGAAGAAACCACCCCGCUACCCAGGACCUGACUUCUGUGGGCCAUCCUCAGUAAGCCCCUAAAAUGUGCACGUUCCACGUGAGGAAGCUGAGGAACAUUCAUGUUGAGUCACCCUCACUGCUAGGAGGAGAUGGAGUCGCGACUGCAGCUCGGGCUUUCCUGCUUUGUAAUCCCGACGCCUCCACCACUGCUGAAUGGAAGUAGUUACUUCUGGAUUGG